Molecule: non-coding RNA, 48 nt
Organism: Trichobilharzia regenti
Lineage: Eukaryota; Metazoa; Platyhelminthes; Trematoda; Strigeidida; Schistosomatidae
Source: Rfam
AGUUAGCUGACGAGUCCUAAAUGGGACGAAAUGCGCUUUAUCCUGGAU